Molecule: long non-coding RNA, 1083 nt
Filed under: Sparus aurata (gilthead seabream)
Lineage: Eukaryota; Metazoa; Chordata; Actinopteri; Spariformes; Sparidae
Description: lncRNA (ENSSAUG00010013992.1)
Source: RNAcentral
AUGAUAUCCAACCCUGCUAAUGAUAAUGAAAAUGAAUCAUGUAUUGAUCUGUUGACUUUUGAUCUUCAUCAUCAGCCUCUGGAGGAGGAGGCCAGAAGACAAAGAGACAAGGAGAUUGCUACAAGUCAAAAUCCAGUUCAGGAGAGGAGUGUAAACCUGAUGUGUCAAACAAAUCAGAGACAUGUGAUCAAACAAUGUGAUCAAUCUAAACAGACUGGAAGAGAACAAGAGAAAAACAGUCAGCAGGCCGAACAGGCUGGACGUGAUCAGGGAGAUGAUGAGGAUAAAGAGAGAUCAGUGGAUGAGUGUGAGAUCAACCAAACACCUCCUGGAACAAUCAGGAUCGGGUUGCUCAAUGUUCGAUCGAUGAAUCCAAGAACAUCCAGGAUCUCAGAGCUUAUAACAGGAAAUAACGUGGACGUCUUUCUCACAACAGAGACGUGGUUAACAGAUGAAACAGCAGUCAGAGUCCUCAGAGAGGCUUCACCAGAAGGGUUCAGGUUCCACUAUCAGGUGAGGACAGAUGGUAGAAGAGGAGGAGGGGUGGCCAAUCAGUUCUCACAGGAACUGCAGGGAGAACAAAUUCACUUUGACUCUCUAAACAUAACGACCUUUGAGUUUGUUGUCACAGUUCUGCAACAUGAUGAUUGGGACCAACCUGUCGUGAUCAUCAAUGUGUAUCUCCCACCAGGAUACAACCAGCAACAAUUCCGCAGGUUUCUGAAUGAGUUUCAAAGUCUCCUGGAUGAAGUCAAUAGGAACUACAGCAGCAUCAUUGUGACUGGAGAUUUCAACAUUCAUGUUAAUAAUGAAAGGAGGUCCUUUACUGACGAGUUUUAUCAUGUUUGGCCGCUCUAUAACCUUACGCAGCAUGUAGAGGAGCCAACACAUCGAGCAGGUAACACUCUGGAUCUGGUCCUCACCUCAAAUGUGGAAAUCUCUGAUCUCAUUGUUCAGAAAGAUACAAACUCAGAUCAUUCCACUGUUUAUUUUACUGCAAAGCCAAAAGACACAAGAAGGAAACUGAAAAAAACGAGAACAAAGAGCAGAAACGAUUCAGACAGACGGAGGAAUAGAAACUGA